RNAcentral lists this ribosomal RNA (433 nucleotides) under uncultured bacterium. RNAcentral describes it as "partial 16S ribosomal RNA". It matches the Rfam family "Bacterial small subunit ribosomal RNA", at positions 29 to 507 of the family's 1533-position model. The record is from RNAcentral.
CACUAACGCUGGCGGCAUGCCUAACACAUGCCAGUCGAACGAGACCUUCGGGUCUAGUGGCGCACGGGUGCGUAACGCGUGGGAACCUGCCCUUAGGUUCGGAAUAACUCCCCGAAAGGGGUGCUAAUACCGGAUAAUGUCUUCGGACCAAAGAUUUAUCGCCUUUGGAUGGGCCCGCGUUGGAUUAGCUAGUUGGUAGGGUAAAAGCCUACCAAGGCGACGAUCCAUAGCUGGUCUGAGAGGAUGAUCAGCCACACUGGGACUGAGACACGGCCCAGACUCCUACGGGAGGCAGCAGUGGGGAAUAUUGGACAAUGGGCGAAAGCCUGAUCCAGCAAUGCCGCGUGAGUGAUGAAGGCCUUAGGGUUGUAAAGCUCUUUUACCCGGGAUGAUAAUGACAGUACCGGGAGAAUAAGCUCCGGCUAACUCCGUG